GGGCAGCAGUGGGGAAUUUUGGACAAUGGGCGCAAGCCUGAUCCAGCAAUGCCGCGUGCAGGAAGAAGGCCUUCGGGUUGUAAACUGCUUUUGUACGGAACGAAACGGUCUGGAUUAAUACUCUGGGCUAAUGACGGUACCGUAAGAAUAAGCACCGGCUAACUACGUGCCAGCAGCCGCGGUAAUACGUAGGGUGCAAGCGUUAAUCGGAAUUACUGGGCGUAAAGCGUGCGCAGGCGGUUUUGUAAGACAGUCGUGAAAUCCCCGGGCUCAACCUGGGAAUUGCGAUUGUGACUGCAAGGCUGGAGUGCGGCAGAGGGGGAUGGAAUUCCGCGUGUAGCAGUGAAAUGCGUAGAUAUGCGGAGGAACACCGAUGGCGAAGGCAAUCCCCUGGGCCUGCACUGACGCUCAUGCACGAAAGCGUGGGGAGCAAACAGGAUUAGAUACCCCUGUAGUC
Molecule: ribosomal RNA, 457 nt
Filed under: uncultured Comamonadaceae bacterium
Lineage: Bacteria; Pseudomonadati; Pseudomonadota; Betaproteobacteria; Burkholderiales; Comamonadaceae
Description: bacterial SSU rRNA
Rfam family: Bacterial small subunit ribosomal RNA
Source: RNAcentral